GUCUACGGCCAUACCACCCUGAACGCACCCGAUCUCAUCUGAUCUCGUAAGCUAAGCAGGGUCGGGCCUGGUUAGUACUUGGAUGGGAGAAUGCAGAUAUUAAAAAGC
This 108-nucleotide ribosomal RNA is filed under the name Vulpes vulpes (red fox). Lineage: Eukaryota; Metazoa; Chordata; Mammalia; Carnivora; Canidae. The record is from RNAcentral.